GUCGGGAAGCGGCAAACGGGUGAGUAACACGUUGGUACCUGCCCCGAAGUGAGGAAUAACCCCGCGAAAGCGGGACUAAUACCGCAUAGUCUUAAAUCCGCAAGGAUUUAAGUAAAGCUACGGCGCUUCGGGAAGGGCCUGCGGCCUAUCAGCUAGUUGGUAGGGUAAUAGCCUACCAAGGCGAUGACGGGUAGCUGGUGUGAGAGCAUGACCAGCCACAAUGGGACUGAGACACGGCCCAUACUCCUACGGGAGGCAGCAGUGAGGAAUCUUCCGCAAUGGCCGAAAGGCUGACGGAGCGACACCGCAUGAUCGAUGAAGGGCGUAAGCUUGUAAAGAUCUUUUCUGAAGGAAUAAAACUGACGGUACUUCAGGAAUAAGCACCGGCUAACUACGUGCCAGCAGCCGCGGUAAGACGUAGGGUGCGAGCGUUAUCCGGAAUUACUGGGCGUAAAGAAUCUGUAGCGACUUAAUAAGUUUGUGGUUAAUCAUUGGGCUCAACCCAAUAAUCGUCGCAAAUACUGUUAGGAUAGAGAUUGGCAGAGGUAAAUGGAAUUCGGCAUGUAGGGGUAAAAUCCGUUGAUAUGCCGAGGAACACCAAAAGCGAAAGCAUUUUACUGGGCCAAUUCUGACGCUGAGAGAUGAAAGCGUGGGGAGCAAACAGGAUUAGAUACCCUGGUAGUCCACGCCGUAAACUAUGGGUGUUAGGUGUUGGAGAGAAUCGACCCUUUUCAGCGCCUAAGCCAACGCAUUAAACACCCCGCCUGGGGAGUACGGCCGCAAGGCUAAAACUCAAAAGAAUAGACGGGGACCUACACAAGCGGUGGAGCAUCUGGUUCAAUUCGACACUGAACGAGGAAUCUUACCUGGGCUUGACAUCCCGAGAACCUCGCAGAAAUGCGGGGGUGCCGCAAGGAACUCGGUGACAGGUGAUGCACGGUCGUCGUCAGCUCGUGCCUUGAGGUGUUCGGUUAAGUCCGUAAACGAGCGCAAACCUUGCCCUGAUUUGUAUAUUU
RNAcentral lists this ribosomal RNA (1016 nucleotides) under uncultured bacterium. RNAcentral describes it as "bacterial SSU rRNA". It matches the Rfam family "Bacterial small subunit ribosomal RNA", at positions 87 to 1124 of the family's 1533-position model. The record is from RNAcentral.